GACGAACGCUGGGGGGGUGCCCCUUUCAUGCAAGUCGAGCGAGCUGAAUUCAAAGAUCCCUUCGGGGUGAUUUGUUGGACGCUAGCGGCGGAUGGGUGAUUAACACGGGGGCAAUCUGCCCUAAAGACUGGGAUACCACUUGGAAACAGGUGCUAAUACCGGAUAACAACAUGAAUCGCAUGAUUCAAGUUUGAAAGGCGGCGUAAGCUGUCACUUUAGGAUGAGCCCGCGGCGCAUUACCUAGUUGGUGGGGUAAAGGCCUACCAAGGCAAUGAUGCGUACCCAAGUUGAGAGACUGAUCGGCCACAUUGGGACUGAAACACGGCCCAAACUCCUACGGGAGGCAGCAGUAGGGAAUCUUCCACAAUGGACAAAAGUUUGAUGGAGCAACGCCGCGUGAGUGAAGAAGGUUUUCGGAUCGUAAAGCUCUGUUGUUGGUGAAGAAGGAUAGAGGCAGUAACUGGUCUUUAUUUGACGGUAAUCAACCAGAAAGUCACGGCUAACUACGUG
This 510-nucleotide ribosomal RNA is filed under the name uncultured bacterium. RNAcentral's name for it is "bacterial SSU rRNA". It matches the Rfam family "Bacterial small subunit ribosomal RNA", at positions 28 to 507 of the family's 1533-position model. The record is from RNAcentral.